This 225-nucleotide ribosomal RNA is filed under the name uncultured bacterium. RNAcentral describes it as "partial 16S ribosomal RNA". It matches the Rfam family "Bacterial small subunit ribosomal RNA", at positions 109 to 334 of the family's 1533-position model. The record is from RNAcentral.
AGUAACGCGUGGAUAACCUGCCUCACACUGGGGGAUAACAGUUAGAAAUGACUGCUAAUACCGCAUAAACGCACAGUGCCGCAUGGCAGUGUGUGAAAAACUCCGGUGGUGUGAGAUGGAUCCGCGUCUGAUUAGCCAGUUGGCGGGGUAACGGCCCACCAAAGCGACGAUCAGUAGCCGACCUGAGAGGGUGACCGGCCACAUUGGGACUGAGACACGGCCCAA